Molecule: unclassified non-coding RNA, 279 nt
Filed under: plant metagenome
Description: partial contains small subunit ribosomal RNA, internal transcribed spacer 1, and 5.8S ribosomal RNA
Source: RNAcentral
UUUCCGUAGGUGAACCUGCGGAAGGAUCAUUACCGAGUUAGGGUCUCUCAGGCCCCACCUCCCACCCUGCUUCUUUCCUACCUUGUUGCUUCGGCGCGCCCGCCUCCAUGACAGGCCGCCAGAAGCCCACCGCUCUGUGCCCGUGCCCGCCAGUACCCCCCUUAACUUCAUAAUAAACCUGUCUUCCGAGACCAGAUAUAAUAAAAAAAACUUUCAACAACGACGCACUUGGUUCUGGCAUCGCUGAAGAAAGCUGCAGACCCGAAUCCCACACGCGUU